UACGGCCAUAUCCCGUUGAAUACCGUUUCUCGUACCAUCACCAAAGUUAAGCAACAUCGAGCCUGGUCGCUACCUCGAUGGGUGACCGCUUGGGAAUACCAGAUGCUGUAAG
Molecule: non-coding RNA, 112 nt
Organism: Acanthosepion pharaonis
Lineage: Eukaryota; Metazoa; Mollusca; Cephalopoda; Sepiida; Sepiidae
Source: the annotation of a GenBank genome assembly